Molecule: ribosomal RNA, 196 nt
Filed under: uncultured bacterium
Lineage: Bacteria
Description: partial 16S ribosomal RNA
Rfam family: Bacterial small subunit ribosomal RNA
Source: RNAcentral
ACCUCGACACCUACGGGAGGCAGCAGUGGGGAAUAUUGCACAAUGGGGGAAACCCUGAUGCAGCAACGCCGCGUGAAGGAAGACGGUUUUCGGAUUGUAAACUUCUGUUCUUAGUGAAGAUAGUGACGGUAGCUAAGGAGCAAGCCACGGCUAACUACGUGCCACAGCCGCGGUAAUCUGAGCGGGCUGGCAAGGC